Molecule: transfer RNA, 74 nt
Filed under: Minisyncoccota bacterium
Lineage: Bacteria; Bacillati; Minisyncoccota
Description: tRNA-Gln
Rfam family: tRNA
About the family: Transfer RNA (tRNA) molecules are approximately 80 nucleotides in length. Their secondary structure includes four short double-helical elements and three loops (D, anti-codon, and T loops).
Source: RNAcentral
UCCCGGGUAGUGAAAUGGCAUCACAAUUGACUCUGAAUCAAUUAUUCUAGGUUCAAAUCCUGGCCCGGGAUCAA